AAGUUAUAAAUAAUUCAUACACAAGGAGACCAGGCAAGGCAGGGCUCUCAGCCCCUGUCCCUCCGGGCUGUGGAGAGCGGGAUGGGCUGGGGGCCGGCUGCGGGGCCAGGACCCGCACUCUGGGGCUCAGCGCCACAUGGGCACGCUGAACCCUCCAUCCCUGUGCCGGGCGGGGAGUCCCGCGGGUACAGCCCGGAGCCAGCCGGGGUCGCCAGUCCACACCAUGGAAGAGACCUCACGCUGGCGCCGGGGCGGCGGCACCUCCCUCGCAGCCCACGGCCACGCUUGUCCGCAGCCUCGGUUCGUGUCCGCAGCCUCGGUCCGUGUCCGCCGCCUCGGUCCGCGUCCGCCGCCUCGGUCGGUCCCCGCCGCCCCGCCCCGCACCGGAGCCGCGACCCCGGGAUCCCCAGACCGGGCGGCGCUCCCGGCGGUGGCCGCCAGAGGGCGCGCUGGCCCCGGGCUCUCCCGCCGCGGAACCCGCCUGAGCGGCUGCGGCUGCGGCCCGGAGCCGAACGGCGGCGGACCCGGAGCGGCCCCGGUGGAGGCCCCGCUCCCGGCCCCGCUCGGCCCCGCCAUGGCCCGGGACCCGGCCUUCGUGCUGCGCUACCUGGCCGAGGUGGAGGAGCUGGCCGAGGACGUGCUGGCAUCACGGCAGCAGAUCGUGGACCUGGACGUGAAGCGGAACCGCAACCGCGAGGCCCUGCGGGCGCUGCAUAAGGACCAGGAGCCCGAUGCAGAGAAGGCCAUGGUUUGCUUCGGGAGCAUGUUCAUCGAGCUGCCGAAGGCAAAGACCCGGGAGAUGCUGCAGCAGGACCACCGCAGUCCUCCUGCCUCUUAUCCCAGACCAGGAAGAGCUGGAUAAGGAGAUAAACAACCUCCGGAAGGAGCUGCGGGUGAAGGUCAACAGGCUCUAUGAAGCUCAAGGUAAGCCUGAGCUGAAGGGGUUUAACCUGAAUCCCAUGUCUGCUGAGGAAAUGAAGCUCAUCAACCGCAUCCUGGAGGGCUGAGGUGGCCGUGCCAUUGUCACAGCGUGUUUGGCUGUCACUGUGGGCUCAUGUUUCAGUAGCCACAGUCCCUGGGAUUUGCAGGAUGUUGGUGUGCCCAGAGCCCACCCAGGUGCGGGCCCUGGGAAUCGUUUGGCUCCUCAGCUCCAACUCUGCAGUUUCUUUGCAUCACAAACUCUUUCCUGCUCUCUGCUGGAAUUUGGGUGGCAGAGCCGUGGUGGAUACAGCGCUGGGCAGAGGCCCACAGCUGGGGUGGAAGUGGGAUCAUUAAAAUCAGAGCAGUGG
Prinia subflava (tawny-flanked prinia) is the source of this 1289-nucleotide RNA transcript. It is a transcript of the gene named p53 and DNA damage regulated 1, with no coding region annotated. The transcript is spliced from 5 exons. The record is from RefSeq and is a predicted model, not a curated record. Lineage: Eukaryota; Metazoa; Chordata; Aves; Passeriformes; Cisticolidae.